UACAGAGGGUGCGAGCGUUGUUCGGAAUUAUUGGGCGUAAAGGGCGCGUAGGCGGCUUUUUAAGUUUGGUGUGAAGUCUCCCGGCUCAACUGGGAGGGUGCGCCGAAUACUGAGAGGCUAGAGUGUGGGAGAGGAAAGUGGAAUUCCUGGUGUAGCGGUGAAAUGCGUAGAUAUCAGGAGGAACACCGGUGGUGUAAACGGCUUUCUGGACCAUAACUGACGCUGAGGCACGAAAGCGUGGGUAGCAAACAGG
RNAcentral lists this ribosomal RNA (253 nucleotides) under uncultured bacterium. RNAcentral's name for it is "partial 16S ribosomal RNA". It matches the Rfam family "Bacterial small subunit ribosomal RNA", at positions 524 to 776 of the family's 1533-position model. The record is from RNAcentral.